This 601-nucleotide ribosomal RNA is filed under the name uncultured bacterium. Its description in RNAcentral is "bacterial SSU rRNA". It matches the Rfam family "Bacterial small subunit ribosomal RNA", at positions 724 to 1329 of the family's 1533-position model. The record is from RNAcentral.
UCUCCGAGUCCUUUAACUGACGCUAAUGCUCGAAAGUGCGGGUAUCGAACAGGAUUAGAUACCCUGGUAGUCCGCACGGUAAACGAUGGAUGCCCGCUGUUGGCGAUACAUUGUCAGCGGCCAAGCGAAAGCGUUAAGCAUCCCACCUGGGGAGUACGCCGGCAACGGUGAAACUCAAAGGAAUUGACGGGGGCCCGCACAAGCGGAGGAACAUGUGGUUUAAUUCGAUGAUACGCGAGGAACCUUACCCGGGCUUGAACUGCAGGCGAACGAUUCAGAGAUGAUGAGGCCCUUCGGGGCGCCUGUGGAGGUGCUGCAUGGUUGUCGUCAGCUCGUGCCGUGAGGUGUCGGCUUAAGUGCCAUAACGAGCGCAACCCCUUUCAUUAGUUGCCAUCAGGUGAUGCUGGGCACUCUAGUGACACUGCCACCGUAAGGUGUGAGGAAGGUGGGGAUGACGUCAAAUCAGCACGGCCCUUACGUCCGGGGCUACACACGUGUUACAAUGGGUGGUACAGAGAGUCAGUGCAACGCAAGUUGUAUUCAAUCAUGAAAGCCAUCCUCAGUUCGGAUUGGGGUCUGCAACCCGACCCCAUGAAGCUGG